Non-coding RNA from Russula compacta, 106 nucleotides. NCBI's taxonomy places the organism in Eukaryota, Fungi, Basidiomycota, Agaricomycetes, Russulales, Russulaceae. The record is from the annotation of a GenBank genome assembly.
UUCGGUGUGGUGCAACGGCUAGCAUACCUCGCUUUCACUAACUACAGGACAGUAUAUCUAUUUGUAGCGAUCCGAGGAGGUCGGGGUUCGAUUCCCCGCACCGAAG